CCGCCGGUAGCGGGUGCACGAAGUGGACGGGGCCAGGCCUAACCUUCGCUGAACAGGAUCAACGUUGGUUCAAACAUUAUGUGCACGGCUUGAGAGGGUCGAAGCUUGUGCAUUUCAAUUUCGCAGGAGUUCUUCUUCGGUCAAGUCCAUCAAGUCAAGGUCAGAAAUUACGCCUUUGGCCGUAUUCAUGUUUCGGUGCGCUGUUACACUGACGGGGAUGUCUCCAAGUUCUACAAGUAUGAUGCUCCAAUCAAAGCGUUCUAUCCUUCGUCGAAAGUCG
Dermacentor andersoni is the source of this 280-nucleotide long non-coding RNA. RefSeq lists it as uncharacterized. The record is from RefSeq and is a predicted model, not a curated record. Lineage: Eukaryota; Metazoa; Arthropoda; Arachnida; Ixodida; Ixodidae.